Molecule: ribosomal RNA, 628 nt
Filed under: Austrelater sp. NLG
Lineage: Eukaryota; Metazoa; Arthropoda; Insecta; Coleoptera; Elateridae
Description: eukaryotic LSU rRNA
Rfam family: Eukaryotic large subunit ribosomal RNA
Source: RNAcentral
GGAGUCUAGCAUGCGCGCGAGUCAUUGGGACUAAGCGAAACCUAAAGGCGAAAUGAAAGUGAAGGCUCGCCUCGCGCGAGCCGAGGGAGGAUGGGCCGCGCGCAAUCGCGGCCCCGCACUCCCGGGGCGUCUCGUUCUCAUCGCGAGAAGAGGCGCACCCAGAGCGUGCACGCUGGGACCCGAAAGAUGGUGAACUAUGCCUGGUCAGGACGAAGUCAGGGGAAACCCUGAUGGAGGUCCGUAGCGAUUCUGACGUGCAAAUCGAUCGUCGGAACUGGGUAUAGGGGCGAAAGACUAAUCGAACCAUCUAGUAGCUGGUUCCCUCCGAAGUUUCCCUCAGGAUAGCUGGCGCUCGCUUUUGCGAGUCUCAUCCGGUAAAGCGAAUGAUUAGAGGCAUUGGGGUCGAAACGGCCUCAACCUAUUCUCAAACUUUAAAUGGGUGAGAUCUCCGGCUUGCUUGAACAGUGAAGCCGCGAGAUCGGAUCAGAGUGCCAAGUGGGCCACUUUUGGUAAGCAGAACUGGCGCUGUGGGAUGAACCAAACGCAGAGUUAAAGCGCCUAAAUCGACGCUUAUGGGAUACCAUGAAAGGCGUUGGUAACUUAAGACAGCAGGACGGUGGCCAUGGAA